UACGAAGGGGGCUAGCGUUGUUCGGAAUUAUUGGGCGUAAAGAGCUCGUAGGCGGUGUGUCGCGUCGGCCGUGAAAACCUGCAGCUUAACUGUGAGCGUGCGGGCGAUACGGGCAGACUGGAGUACUGCAGGGGAGACUGGAAUUCCUGGUGUAGCGGUGGAAUGCGCAGAUAUCAGGAGGAACACCGGUGGCGAAGGCGGGUCUCUGGGCAGUAACUGACGCUGAGGAGCGAAAGCGUGGGGAGCAAACAGG
RNAcentral lists this ribosomal RNA (253 nucleotides) under uncultured bacterium. RNAcentral's name for it is "partial 16S ribosomal RNA". It matches the Rfam family "Bacterial small subunit ribosomal RNA", at positions 524 to 776 of the family's 1533-position model. The record is from RNAcentral.